CCCGGGUGGGCAGCGUGGCGGCCUUCGUGCUCGCCUGGGGCGCGUCCGCCGCGGUGGCCGCCGCGUACGGCUGGUUCCAGUCCGGCAUCCGGCCCC
RNAcentral lists this transfer RNA (96 nucleotides) under Streptomyces tanashiensis. RNAcentral describes it as "tRNA-Pro(ggg)". Lineage: Bacteria; Bacillati; Actinomycetota; Actinomycetes; Kitasatosporales; Streptomycetaceae. The record is from RNAcentral.